Molecule: non-coding RNA, 3693 nt
Organism: Aegilops tauschii subsp. strangulata
Lineage: Eukaryota; Viridiplantae; Streptophyta; Magnoliopsida; Poales; Poaceae
Source: RefSeq, a predicted model, not a curated record
CUUUUGCUCGGCCGGCCGCUUGUACAAGUUGGCUUGGAAAUGCCCUCCUCGCUGAUGUGCCGCAUCUGCCUCCGCCACCGCCGCUCCUCCUCCACCACCUCACUGACGUGUCGCCUCCGCCUACUCCGGCGCCGCUCCUCCUCCACCUCCACCUCCACCUCCCCGCGCCCACGCCCCUGGUCUCCCCACGCCGCCUUUGCCGCUGCCACACAGCGGGUCAGCGCUGGGACGUUCAGCCCGGAACACGCACACCAACUGUUCGACGAAUUGCUACGGCAGGGCACUCCGGUCCCCGAUUUCUCGCUGGACGGCUUCCUUGCCGCUCUCGCCCGUGCUACGUCAUCGGCGGCCUGCAGAGAUGGCCCCGCCCUCGCGCUCGCCCUCUUCAACCGCUUAUGCCGAGAAGAAGCUGGCCCGCGGGUGGCGCAGCCCACAAUCUUCACCUACGGCGUCCUCAUGAACUGAUGCGUCCGCACUCGUCCGCACUCGGGCUUGUUUUCUUCGGCCGUCUCCUCAGGAGGGGCCUGAAGACAAACACGAUUGUCUUCAGCUCCCUCCUCAAGUGCCUCUGUCACGCCAAACGGACAGACGAGGCUGUCAGCGUGCUGCUUCAUAGGAUGUCUGAGCUUGGUUGUGUGCCUGAUGCCUUCUCAUACACCAUUGUUCUUAAGAGCUUAUGUGAUGGUAGCAGCAGCCAGCGGGCGCUCGACCUGCUCCAGAUGAUGGAGAAAGGAGAAGGUGUCUGCUCUCCCCUGGCGUGGUGUUAUAUACCACGGUCAUCCACGGCCUCCUUAAGGAAGGGGAAGUAAGCAAGGCAUGCAGUCUGUUCGAUGAAAUGGUGCAGCAAGGGGUUGUGCCUAAUGUGGUGACAUACAACUCGAUUAUUGAUGCGCUGUGCAAGGCUGGAGCGAUGGACAAGACAGAGUUGGUCCUUUCGGCAGAUGGUUGAUAGUGGCAUCUAACCGGAUAACGUGACAUAUACUAGCAUGAUACACGGAUAUUCCACGUUGGGCCGGUGGAAAGAAACGGGCAAAAUGUUCAGAGAAAUGACAAGCCGGGGUAUCAUACCAGAUGUUGUUGGUUGGACCUCAUUCAUGACCUCCCUCUGCAAGCAUGGAAGAAGCAGAGAAGCUACCGGAAUUAUUGAUUACAUGUCUGCCAAGGGCCACAAGCCUAAUAUUGUCUCGUACUCUAUUCUGUUUCAUGGAUAUGCUACAGAAGGAUGCUUUGAUGAUAUGAUUAAUCUCCUUGACUCAAUGGCAACCAACGGUAUUGUUCCCAAUCGCCAGAUUUUCAGCAUUUUAGUUGAUGCGUAUGCUAAACGUGGAAUGAUGGAUGAAGCUAUGCUCAUAUUUACUGGAAUGUGGGAACAAGGAGUGAUCCCAGAUGUAUCCAGAUGAGGACAAGGAGUGAGUUCAGAGUCUACAAUUUUUAGGCUGGCUGAUGCUUUGAACAAGUUCAGUCAGAUGAUUUCUAUUGAUAUAAAACCGGACACAGUUGUUUAUCACUCCCUAAUUCAGGGUUUCUGCACACAUGGCGAUUUGGUGAAAGCAAAGGAGUUGGUUUAUGAAAUGAUAAACAAAUACAUUCCACCUCCUACCGUUGUGUUCUUCAGUUCAAUAAUAAAUAGUCUAUGCAAAGAAGGAAGGGUUACAGAUGCACAAGAUAUCUUCAACUUGGUUGUUGAAAUAGGUGAGAGUCCUGAUGUCUUUGCUUUUACUUCACUACUUGACAGAUAUUGCCUAGUCGGCAAAAUGGAGAAAGCAUCACAAGUGUUUGAUGCAAUGGUAUCAACUGGCAUUGAGCCUAAUGCAUCCACCUAAAGUGUAAUGAUAACAAAUCUUUUGAAAGAAGGAUCAGUGGAAGAAGCUGAAAGUUUGUUCUCGUCAAUGGAGAAGAGCGGUUGUGCUCCGGACUCUCGUCUUAUAAAUGAUAUCAACAGAAUAUUAUUGGAAAAAGGUGAAAUUGUCAAGGCUGGAGAUUAUAUGUCUAAAGUUGAUGGCAAGGCCAUCUCACUUGAAGCUUCGACUACUUCAUUAUUGAAAUGUCUCUUUUCAAGCAAAGGGAAAUAUCCGGAACAAAUAAAUUUGCUCCCUGUAAAGUACCAGUUUUUCAAUGGAGUCAGUUGAUGCCCCGGACUCAGAUGACACACAUUGGCAUGGUUUGGAGCUCCCUCUCAACGAUGUCGACAUGAGUUCUCUUCCUACAGACAUGAACAUCAAUACUCACCAAGAUCGAGCUGGGUGUUUGGUGCCACCACGGUGUUUUAGCCCAAUGCGUGUGGCUGCUGGGCGUGCAUCAUAUGGACAUUGCCCAUAAUUUGUGCGCCAUUUCGACUCUCAAGGGAAAUAUCAUGAACAAAUUAAACCGCUCUGAAAACUACCGAUUUUUCAAUGUACUCGGUUGAUGCACUGGACUCAGUAGAUAGACGUUGGUUUGGUCUGGAGCUCCCUCUCAAUGAUGUCAACAUGUGUCCUCUUCUAUGCGCUCACCAAAAUCAAGCUGGGUGAUGGUGUCACCAUGGUGUUCUGGUCUGAUGCGUGGACUUUGCCCCUAAUCUCCACGCCAUUUCCGCGUGCAAGGUUUGUAUCCCACCUUCCUCUUAGGAAUAGGCUUGGGGUGCUAGUGGGUUCUACGACCUUUACAUAACAUAUAUAAGCAUAUGCCAUAGUGAGUUCUGUAACCUUUUGGAUCGAGGACGGGUUAUAAGGCCUUGAAAUUGAGCCAUGUCACCUUUAUGGGACAAGAGUGCCAUUUGAAGUUUCUAGUUUUUGUAUGACAAUUCAGCCCUAAUGUGGCAAAAGUCAGGGGUUAUACCAUUGCAGCUUUUUGCAUCGUGUUGGUUCCACUAGAGGUCUUUUCCCUGAUCAUUGGCUUUGCCUGUUGAUCAAACAUAGCUUAACUGUCAGAUAGCAAUCUUGCCGCAAGCAUAUUUUUCAGAUAACCUCCAACUAUCCCUUUCAACGCCAAUGGUCGAGCAGAGGCUUCCUCCAGUAGGCACAUUGCUGCCAUGACCACAGCCUGGAUGAAAUCUCCAGUAGCCUGACCUCUAGGAAGAGGGUCGUACUAGGUACCCCGCCUUUUCCCUGAUCGUUGGCGUUGCCUGUUGAUCAAACAUAGCUUUUAACUGUCAGAAAGAAAUCUUGCCGCGAGCAUAUUUUUCAGAUAACCUCCAACUAUUGAUUUUACGCAGGGAAAUAUAUUCUGAGCAUUUAUGGCAAUCAAGCACAUUUGUAACCAGAAGGUCCAUAGCCAGUUAAUUAAGAUUUGAUCACUUGCUAGUCUAGUGAAAUCGACAGUUCUUCUUCCCGUGAUCAACUCAAGUUGAAAAACCAUGGAACUGCACAUGUCUGUCUUGGUAGUAAGCUAUCUAAUGUAUUCUGGAGCGCAUUUCCCAUGACCUGAGUUAGUGAAUUCAGAUGUGUGUCUUUUCCCGACAGGUGCCAAGAUGUGCAAGCCUGAAGACUUGGAUUCAAUAGUUGUGUGGGACAUCCUCAUUCUUAUACACCAGCUGAGUGGUAUUUGAUCAGAAGUGUUAUCUCAUAUGACAACAACUCAACUUAUAACCUCCUGAUGAUGACAAUAUUGAAAAUAAUGCUGUAAUGUUGUCUGAAUAUCUCAGUUUUUUGGGCCGAACAUGACGUGCUGGAAUCCAUAGAUCUUUCUGUUAAUUUAUUAUGAUGUUGAUACUGA